CCUACGGGAGUCUGCAGUGAGGAAUAUUGGUCAAUGGCCGCAGGGCUGAACCAGCCAAGUCGCGUGAGGGAUGACGGUCCUAUGGAUUGUAAACCUCUUUUGUCAGGGAGCAAAGGGCGCCACGUGUGGCGCUUUGCGAGUACCUGAAGAAAAAGCAUCGGCUAACUCCGUGCCAGCAGCCGCAGUAAUACGGAGGAUGCGAGCGUUAUCCGGAUUUAUUGGGUUUAAAGGGUGCGCAGGCGGAAUGUCAAGUCAGCGGUAAAAUUUCGGGGCUCAACCCCGUCGUGCCGUUGAAACUGGCGUUCUUGAGUGAGCGAGAAGUAUGCGGAAUGCGUGGUGUAGCGGUGAAAUGCAUAGAUAUCACGCAGAACUCCGAUUGCGAAGGCAGCAUACCGGCGCUCAACUGACGCUCAUGCACGAAAGCGUGGGUAUCGAACAGGAUUAGAUACCCUUGUAGUC
Molecule: ribosomal RNA, 459 nt
Filed under: uncultured bacterium
Lineage: Bacteria
Description: partial 16S ribosomal RNA
Rfam family: Bacterial small subunit ribosomal RNA
Source: RNAcentral